GAUUGGUCAUGAUAUUAAUACGUAAAGUAUGGGGAUAUGCAUACAGCAACGAAACUGAAGUUGUUAGAUACAUAGCCAUCAUGAUGCCACUUCUUGCAACAUCAAAUUUCUUGGAUGGCCUUCAAUGUGUUCUCUCAGGUGCUGUAAGAGGAUUUGGAUGGCAGAAAAUUGGGGCAAUCAUUAACCUUGGAUCCUAUUAUUUGGUGGGAAUACCUUGUGCUGUCUUG
This 227-nucleotide unclassified non-coding RNA is filed under the name Hevea brasiliensis (rubber tree). The record is from RNAcentral. Lineage: Eukaryota; Viridiplantae; Streptophyta; Magnoliopsida; Malpighiales; Euphorbiaceae.